This 1750-nucleotide long non-coding RNA is filed under the name Homo sapiens (human). RNAcentral's name for it is "HSALNT0330103". The record is from RNAcentral. Lineage: Eukaryota; Metazoa; Chordata; Mammalia; Primates; Hominidae.
AUAUCAUUAUCUGUGCACAUUCCCCUGCCAUGGAAAGAAUAGAAGUUCCAAAGUCUAUAGAACUGCAAUUCAAAUGUAAUUCAAUUAACUUGGAAUUAUCACAUAUCAUUUAGUUAUCUGGGAAUUUAAGUACCAGGGAUAGGUACUUAAAUACAAAUCUGGGAAGCUCUGAAGGGGAUGGUUAGGCAAGUUAUUGGUCCAAGCUGAGGGUGAGGGGUCAGAAUCCUAUCUGAAGAUGAAGCUACUGUGUUGACGGAUCCUAGAAAAGGAGCACCACUCCCCUUCUUUGCUCUGCUGAAUCAGAAUCCUCUUAAGGAAAGAAAAAAAAGGUUGAAAAAUUAAAGAAUGUGGUGGAACUGUGAGAUAGUACAAAGAGGGGAUGCUAAGUCUGGAGAAGGAAGAAGAAUGCCAAUGAUGCCUUCUCCUCAUCCAGAGACUCCCUAACCCUGGCUGUUACUGCUAAUGGGUUGUCCUUUGUGACUCCAAAGGCAUAGAGUGCCAAGAUAUUCAACCCUGCAGCAGCCUCCUCUAUGGGACUACUGCUGAUCAUAAGCAUAACUCAGCAAAAUGUCCCAAUCAUAGGGGAUCCCUGGAUGAACUGCUCCUUAUGUUCAACAGAUAAAAUUCUACAUACAGUGGAAUGGGAGAAAGGGCCACUGCCCAUUAAAAAAGAAAGCACAGCCAUCAACAGAGGCAAGGAUGUGGUACUGGGAACUGAUGUCUAUUGGCAUCUCCUGCUUAUACCAUAGAAUGGUGAUAUAACAGAGCUUCUCAAGGGCCGGAACAGAGGAACACGUAAGGCAUGGGGAAGCAAGCUUAAGCACUGGGGCAAGUCAUCUUCAAGGAAGAUAUUGUUCUCAAAGAUAUCAUUCCUGUGGUACAGUUCUCAUUCAUUUCACAUCUCUAUUCCCAACACACUUCCAAAGACUGCCCCAGUGUAACAUAUGCAGUUACUUCUCUGCGUAAGUCCUGCUUUUCCCUAUCGAGUCUUACCACGUAAAGCUACAGUUCUAUUGCAAGAGAGGGAAGCACAUCUCUACAGAUUGUGUCUUUAAGAACUAACAUAAGUAUUUCACCCAUCUGACUAGGAAGGAGGAGGCUUAUCAAGUGAUAGUUUUAUAAAUCUAGAUAGAAUUUUUCUCUCAAACAUUCAGAGUCAAAGGCCAGAAGUUACUUACCUGAUGUAAAGUACUUUCAAUUAAACAUACUGGAGACAGACUUGUAUCAAUGACAUUAAGUUAUGAAUGAUAAAAGAGAAAUAAUUCAACAUCUUCUAAGGAACAUGUGUGAAAUACUCCCUUGGAGUGUCACCAAGCCAGGCUAGGACAGAGAGUUAGGCCUCCAAACCCCUGAGCAGCACUUGCUUUCUUGAGAUAGCAUUAUCUGGGGAUCAGUUUCAGGUGGGAGGCAAAAAGUUAAGGAAGAGUUUGCCACUAUGGCAGAAUUAGUUUAGCAGUGGGAAGGUCUACGUUUUGGUCUCAAGAGAGGAAAUUGUGAAUUUACCUAGAAAGGGUGAAGUUUUACCCAGCAGAUAACUCUGCCCUUUCCUGUAAAUUUACCUAGAUGGGGUGAAGUUUACCCAGCAGAUAACACUGCCCUUUCCACUAUGACCCAUGUAACCUGGACAGCCCUGUAUUGCCCAACACAAAGUUACUCUUAGAACAUAGAAGACCUAGGCAGGAAGACCUGGUGGUGUUUAUGAUGCCCACUGUGGCCUUGACACCAGCUAACCAGAAUAAGAGAAUUUUAG